CUUUCAGGCGCAGCUAAAAGCUGUCAGACCCGGAAAUCCUUCCUCUUGUCCUGCAGACUCAACCGCGAGCAGACAACUGCCUCACUCCUCCUCACAUCUGCGAAGUCUGUAGAGCUUGCAUCAUGUUUAAAUUUCAACACGAAGAUAUAAGGAUGAAGAGGCCUGACAGGAUGCAUGAUGGGUACACCUGAUAAGACGUGACCGUUUAAGUCUCAAGAUGACCAAGAAGAAGCACGGACUCUGAGAUGUCCUGCAGUGGGCCGAGGAGACUCUCGGGAUGAACUCCUGUCUCGUCGGCUGAUCAGGAGAUGAGCUGUUGAAGCAGCAGUGGGCCAGAAACAUGAUCAGUGUUUGCUUCAUCUAACCAGUGGUUACAGAGCAAAAGACCCAUGUGGGAGGACAAGGAGGGCUCUCAUUUGUGGAGCUGAAGCUGAAGGGUCAAUGUCCAGAGGACAUGUCAAGAUAUUUGGCAGAUUUUUGUUUGUAUAUGAAAUGCCUUCCACCAAUAAAAUCUGAACAAAUA
Molecule: long non-coding RNA, 523 nt
Organism: Notolabrus celidotus (New Zealand spotty)
Lineage: Eukaryota; Metazoa; Chordata; Actinopteri; Labriformes; Labridae
Exons: 7
Source: RefSeq, a predicted model, not a curated record